ACUGCCUCCCUCAGGGCUUCUCUGGCUGUCCUCACAUAUGGCUCCUCUCACCCUUCUCGCUCAGGGCUCUUCUCACUCUCCUACCUCAGGGCUUCUCUCGUCCUCCUCACUCAAAGCUCCUCACACCCUCGUCACUCAGGACAACCGAAGCCCUCCCUCCUCGGAGCUUCUCUCACCCUCCUCCCUCUGAGCUCCGCACAACGCCCUCCGAGAUCCUCUCGACCUCCUCACUCAGGUUUCCUCUCACCCCCUUCCCUCAGACCGCCCCACAACCUCCUAGCUCAGGGCUCCCUCCAAGAAUUUGAAGGAUUUUAAAUAGGACUCUGACUCCCAGCCAGAGGAACUCAAAAAGUCUCUGCUUUCAGCAGCAUGUUCUACUGCCAGCUUCUGUCUCCACAUCUCCUAAAUCAAGAUAGAGAAACAGGACUGGAACCCAAAUUCUAGGAUUCAAGAGCCUGCACUCUCCGCUGUACAAAACUUAUUGAUUGAUGCCACUGAAGCAAACCUGAUACCCAGGAGCUCCUAAGCUAACUGAUUGACUUCUUUUUGCCGUAAGAAAAAUGGCAGCUUGAGUGAUGUUUGUCUCCAGCACCUCCUUACUUUAUGUGACUCCCAUCAUUGCGCAUCUCAACACCUUAUUUCAGUUUCCUGAGUGCUUGAGAUCCCUCCACUUCUUCCAUCCUCCGUGACAUCUACAUGCCAAGCUCCAUGUUGGACUUUGUGGCUACAAAGAGGGAAAUGACACCAGCCCUCCCCUCGGAGCUCCUGAUCUGGGAAGAGUCUACUUUUUCUGUGUUUUUCUCUAUUGGAAAAGUUUUCCAGCUGCUAGACCUACAGGCUUCAAACAACCCCCAGCCCAUCAACUGCAGAGCCACAAUUUGUGUAUGAAGCCCACUAAGGGGAGGCCCCCCUACUUCUGUCUCCCGAUGUCCCCAGUAAAGAAACACUCAUUCAAUCCACUUUUUGUUAAUACAAGUCCCUUCCCCUGGGAAGGAAAUACAAGUUUUCAGGAUAAUCUGGCACAUCUCAGGAGCCUAUGGAUAUUUGUCCAGACUGCAUCCAUGGCACAGGGCUCAAGGUGUAUACAUGUGCUGUGUGUCCUGGAGAAGAUGAGGCUGCUUCCGGCUCUGCUCCGUCUGUGUGAUGCAGGGAGCAUGGGGCUAAGAGCCUGGGCUCUGCAGCUGGCUUGCCGGGGUCCAUGGUCCAGGGUCAGCCACACGUUCGUGCCGUGAUGUUAACAUUUCACUUAUCUCUUUGUGCCUUGGUUUCCUUCUCUGUGAAAUGGCAAUGAUGAUAGAACUUGUCUCAUAGGAUUAUUGUAAAUUAAGGUACAAAUGCUGAGACUUCCCAGGUGGUCCAGCAGUGAAGAUUCUGCCCUUCCAAUGUAGGGGGUGCAAAUUCUACCUCUGGCUGGGUAGCUAAGAUCCCAUGUGUCCCAUGGCCAAAAAAUAAAAGCCCAAA
Long non-coding RNA from Cervus elaphus (red deer), 1461 nucleotides. RefSeq lists it as uncharacterized. NCBI's taxonomy places the organism in Eukaryota, Metazoa, Chordata, Mammalia, Artiodactyla, Cervidae. The record is from RefSeq and is a predicted model, not a curated record. The transcript is spliced from 8 exons.